CUCUUAGUAUUGAAAUAGCCAACCACUUUGUUCUACCCAUUCCAUCCCUCUCACCAAGUAAGAUGUAAGUAUAAUUCUUAAGAGAAAAAUAUUAAUGGCACAACACAAUAAUUGCCAUACAAUUUAUCAGAGAACUGAUGAACAAAUGGUUGUGAGGCAAAAUAUUUGUUUGGUAUGUGCACAAACAUUUAGAGUAGAAUCAGCUUUUCAAGAAAACAUAUGAAUUGAGAAAAAUGAAAAAGUGACAGACUAUUGCUUUUUCCAAAUUUCAAAAGUAAAUUGGAAAACAUAUUGGAAGAAAAUGUUCCAUCCCACCAGGGGAAUAAAUGAAAUGAUCUUUUCAUCUUCUUUUUCUAGAAGUUGGCCUGCAAAUCAGAUGUUUAAAAUUUACCUACCCAAACUAUGAGCAGCAUAAGUCCAAUAUUAAGCUUAGUCUGAGUUUCAUUGGGAAAAGUUCCAUUUCCCGAUCCUGGGCCAAAAGCUGAAUAAUACCAAUAUGGAAAUUUGGAGCAAAAUCAAUUGUUAAAGUCAGAUUAUGAGAUUUUAACUGCCAUUCCAGAACUACUUAUACAGCCCUUCUAUGUUAUUUCCACUUGCCAGAUCAACACCCAAGGGUCAUUUUGACAUUAAAAAAAAAAAAAAAAAAAGUCCCAGUUACACAUCCAACUGCUGAUUUACAAAGCAAAAGCAAAAGGCAACCUGCGAGUUUGGCUUUAAAAUCCCGUUUGCCUGAGGGAUCUAUGGAUGAAAGAAAUUUUAGCCUACUGUUUAAGGGCUAAUAUUCCCACAUUUCCAUAUCCCAUUUAGGGUGGGUAGACUUUAGCACUUCAGCUUAAGCAGUAUCACUUUAUAUAAGGUGCUUGAGUGGAGUAGGCAGCAAGCUGGAAUGGGAUAAUAAAUGGCAGAGAGGCAAAGAGGCUGCUGCUACAGGUAGCCACCUAUGCCAGUUGCCAAAGGAAAAUGGCUGUGAAAAGCGAGCACAUUUAUUUCCAUGAGCAAAAGAUGAGAAUUUAAUAGUAAAACAGUAAAUUGAGUGUCUGUCCUUUUACCUCUUACUAGAAUUUCUUUGUUGUCCUUUGCAUGGGGAAGGUUAACAACUCAACUUAAUUCUUCGCGCCAAGGAACUUUACAGGCUGUCAUUUGGUUAAGGUCUAAUGGGCCUUCAGGGAUUUGAUAACUGAAUGCUGCGCUCACUGGAGCAGACUGCUCCACAGAGGGCCUGGAAAAGAAUGUUUGAGUUGGAGAAAAGGUGCCGCUGCUCCGACUGCUUUUCCACCUGCAAAAACAGAACCUUUGGGGACAGUAGCACUGUAGUUAACGGGAGGCCAGAUUCAAUCACCCGGGAUCCUAGGAAUGAGAAAGGUGUUAAAGUAGCCAGCUCUUCUGUUUUGCCAAGGAUUUUCCGGCCUUGCUGUUUUUGGCAAAAUUUUGAAAUAUCCCACUUCUCUCACUCUGAGCUUUUCCCUUUCCAUUUCUCAGAGAUGGUUUUGUAUAUUGGGAUGACUAGUCCAAACAGAAAGACAGAAUUUUAAGAGGAUGUGAGAUUCACACUUUUUGGUUCCCCACAUGCCUCUGAACAGCAUUUGGCUGCUGUAGAGAGUUGAGGGAGGGACCCAGAAGCAAUAAAAGGAUCAAGUUGCCAACCACCUCAACCUCAAUAUUGGAAAGGGAACUCCUAAAACCCCUAGCUGACUAAAUCAGAUGGAAAAUUUCAAGACAUUACCAACUGAAAAUGCUGCAGCUUUCACUCAGUAGACUUUGAAAGUCCGGUUCAUA
Molecule: long non-coding RNA, 1776 nt
Filed under: Homo sapiens (human)
Lineage: Eukaryota; Metazoa; Chordata; Mammalia; Primates; Hominidae
Description: non-protein coding lnc-NUDT12-9:1
Source: RNAcentral